GCGCAAGCGUUAUCCGGAAUUAUUGGGCGUAAAGAGCUCGUAGGCGGUUUGUCGCGUCUGCUGUGAAAUCCCGAGGCUCAACCUCGGGCCUGCAGUGGGUACGGGCAGACUAGAGUGCGGUAGGGGAGAUUGGAAUUCCUGGUGUAGCGGUGGAAUGCGCAGAUAUCAGGAGGAACACCGAUGGCGAAGGCAGAUCUCUGGGCCGUAACUGACGCUGAGGAGCGAAAGGGUGGGGAGCAAACAGGCUUAGAUACCCUGGUAGUCCACCCCGUAAACGUUGGGAACUAGUUGUGGGGUCCAUUCCACGGAUUCCGUGACGCAGCUAACGCAUUAAGUUCCCCGCCUGGGGAGUACGGCCGCAAGGCUAAAACUCAAAGGAAUUGACGGGGACCCGCACAAGCGGCGGAGCAUGCGGAUUAAUUCGAUGCAACGCG
Molecule: ribosomal RNA, 434 nt
Filed under: uncultured bacterium
Lineage: Bacteria
Description: bacterial SSU rRNA
Rfam family: Bacterial small subunit ribosomal RNA
Source: RNAcentral